This 120-nucleotide ribosomal RNA is filed under the name Castor canadensis (American beaver). Lineage: Eukaryota; Metazoa; Chordata; Mammalia; Rodentia; Castoridae. The record is from RNAcentral.
GUCUAUGGCCUUACCACCCUAAAUGCACCCUACCACAUCUGGUCUUGGAAGCUAAGCAGGGUCGGGCCUCAUUAGUACUUGGAUGGAAGACAGAUCUUCAGAAGAGACUGCUCAGAGACA